GGAGGAUUCGCCUAGUGGCCUAGGGCGCACGCUUGGAAAGCGUGUUGGGGGAAACCCCUCACGAGUUCGAAUCUCGUAUCCUCCG
Transfer RNA from Actinoplanes friuliensis DSM 7358, 85 nucleotides. It matches the Rfam family "tRNA". From Rfam's summary of the family: Transfer RNA (tRNA) molecules are approximately 80 nucleotides in length. Their secondary structure includes four short double-helical elements and three loops (D, anti-codon, and T loops). The record is from Rfam. Lineage: Bacteria; Bacillati; Actinomycetota; Actinomycetes; Micromonosporales; Micromonosporaceae.